UGGUGGAGUGAUUUGUCUGCUUAAUUGCGAUAACGAACGAGACCAUAGCCUACUAAAUAGUCACGCGAAUCCUAGAUUCGUGGCCGUACUUCUUAGAGGGACUAUAUGAGUCAAUCAUAUGGAAGCGGAUGGCAAUAACA
Molecule: ribosomal RNA, 140 nt
Filed under: uncultured eukaryote
Lineage: Eukaryota
Description: partial 18S ribosomal RNA
Rfam family: Eukaryotic small subunit ribosomal RNA
Source: RNAcentral